RNAcentral lists this ribosomal RNA (474 nucleotides) under uncultured bacterium. Its description in RNAcentral is "bacterial SSU rRNA". It matches the Rfam family "Bacterial small subunit ribosomal RNA", at positions 335 to 799 of the family's 1533-position model. The record is from RNAcentral.
ACUCCUACGGGAGGCAGCAGUGGGGAAUAUUGCACAAUGGGGGAAACCCUGAUGCAGCCAUGCCGCGUGUGUGAAGAAGGCCUUCGGUUGUAAAGCACUUUCAGUAGGGAGGAAGGUAGUGUAGUUAACACCUGCACUAUUUGACGUUACCUACAGAAGAAGCACCGGCUAACUCCGUGCCAGCAGCCGCGGUAAUACGGAGGGUGCGAGCGUUAAUCGGAAUUACUGGGCGUAAAGCGCAUGCAGGCGGCCUGUUAAGUCAGAUGUGAAAGCCCGGGGCUUAACCUCGGAAUUGCAUUUGAAACUGGCAGGCUAGAGUCUUGUAGAGGGGGGUAGAAUUUCAGGUGUAGCGGUGAAAUGCGUAGAGAUCUGAAGGAAUACCAGUGGCGAAGGCGGCCCCCCUGGACAAAGACUGACGCUCAGAUGCGAAAGCGUGGGGGAGCAAACAGGAUUAGAUACCCUGGUAGGAUAGCG